RNAcentral lists this ribosomal RNA (405 nucleotides) under uncultured Gammaproteobacteria bacterium. RNAcentral describes it as "bacterial SSU rRNA". It matches the Rfam family "Bacterial small subunit ribosomal RNA", at positions 46 to 449 of the family's 1533-position model. Lineage: Bacteria; Pseudomonadati; Pseudomonadota; Gammaproteobacteria. The record is from RNAcentral.
GCUUAACACAUGCAAGUCGAGCGGUAACAGAGAUAGCUUGCUAUCUGCUGACGAGCGGCGGACGGGUGAGUAACGCGUAGGAAUCUACCUAGUAGUGGGGGACAACAGUUGGAAACGACUGCUAAUACCGCAUACGCCCUAAGGGGGAAAGCAGGGGAUCUUCGGACCUUGCGCUAUUAGAUGAGCCUGCGUCGGAUUAGCUAGUUGGUGGGGUAAUGGCCUACCAAGGCGACGAUCCGUAGCUGGUCUGAGAGGAUGAUCAGCCACACUGGGACUGAGACACGGCCCAGACUCCUACGGGAGGCAGCAGUGGGGAAUAUUGCACAAUGGGCGCAAGCCUGAUGCAGCCAUGCCGCGUGUGUGAAGAAGGCUCUAGGGUUGUAAAGCACUUUCAGAAGGGAGGAA